UACGUAGGGGGCUAGCGUUGUCCGGAUUUAUUGGGCGUAAAGAGCGUGUAGGCGGCCAGGCAGGUCUGCUGUGAAAACUCGAGGCUCAACCUCGAGAUGUCGGCGGAAACCAUCUGGCUAGAGUCCGGAAGAGGAGAAUGGAAUUCCCGGUGUAGCGGUGAAAUGCGCAGAUAUCGGGAGGAACACCUGUGGCGAAAGCGGCUCACUGGACCAUAACUGACGCUGAGGCACGAAAGCUAGGGGAGCAAACAGG
RNAcentral lists this ribosomal RNA (253 nucleotides) under uncultured bacterium. Its description in RNAcentral is "partial 16S ribosomal RNA". It matches the Rfam family "Bacterial small subunit ribosomal RNA", at positions 524 to 776 of the family's 1533-position model. The record is from RNAcentral.